Molecule: ribosomal RNA, 253 nt
Filed under: uncultured bacterium
Lineage: Bacteria
Description: partial 16S ribosomal RNA
Rfam family: Bacterial small subunit ribosomal RNA
Source: RNAcentral
UACGGGGGGGGCAAGCGUUGUUCGGAAUUACUGGGCGUAAAGGGCUCGUAGGCGGCCAACUAAGUCAGACGUGAAAUCCCUCGGCUUAACCGGGGAACUGCGUCUGAUACUGGUUGGCUUGAAUCCGGGAGAGGGAUGUGGAACUCCGAAUGUAGAGGUGAAAUUCGUAGAUAUUCGGAAGAACACCAGUGGCGAAGGCGGCCCACUGGCCCGGUACUGACGCUGAGGUGCGAAAGCGUGGGGAGCAAACAGG